Alligator mississippiensis (American alligator) is the source of this 681-nucleotide long non-coding RNA. RefSeq lists it as uncharacterized. Lineage: Eukaryota; Metazoa; Chordata; Crocodylia; Alligatoridae. The transcript is spliced from 2 exons. The record is from RefSeq and is a predicted model, not a curated record.
UUUCCUAGACUAUGGACUGGAACCAUAUAAAAAGAGCUCAUAUCCCAGUGCUCCUCAUUCAGUCAUCUUCACUCCUUUGCAUUUGUCCUAGCUGCUGAAGAGGCUUUGCCCACACGACAGAAGAUGUGCUCCCGCAGACCUUGCCACGAGCGUGAAACCUCCUGCCACAGUUCUGGGUCUCGCUGCCAUGAGUCCAGACCUUCCUGCAACAUCACUGUGGUAGAGAGACCAUACUGCUGGCAAGGGCAACAAUACCGUCCACCCUACUAUCCAGUGCAACCCAUCUACCCAGGCUAUCAGCAGUGCUGCAAGUACCCUAAGAUCCCACAGUGCCCCCAGUACCCACAGUACCCCCAGUAUCCCCAGUUCCCACAGUACCCCAAGUAACAGCCAGAAGAACAGCAAGGAGAGAAGCCAAGACCUGCAUGUUCCCUUCCUCCUGUUAUGAAGAUGGCUCAUGUGCCGAAGGUUGCUUUGUCUUGUUGCAUAAAUUGCAGCUUCUCUGUGUAUGUCUGUGCCAUGUUUUGAAGAUUUGCCCACUGUAUAAGUGUGAAAUGUUCUUAACGAGGGUCCUUUACAGUGUUGUGUAUGCUCCCAGACUAUGGGAAUUGUUCUAAUCUUGCUUUCCUGCUUCCUACUGCAGCUUGAUAUGGCACACAAUAAAACCUAACAUUCACAAAA